AUUGAACGCUGGCGGCAUGCCUUACACAUGCAAGUCGAACGGCAGCACGGGAGCUUGCUCCUGGUGGCGAGUGGCGAACGGGUGAGUAAUGCAUCGGAACGUGCCCUGAAGUGGGGGAUAACGUAGCGAAAGUUACGCUAAUACCGCAUAUUCUGUGAGCAGGAAAGCAGGGGAUCUUCGGACCUUGCGCUUUUGGAGCGGCCGAUGUCGGAUUAGCUAGUUGGUGGGUAAAGGCCCACCAAGGCGACGAUCCGUAGCGGGUCUGAGAGGAUGAUCCGCCACACUGGAACUGAGACACGGUCCAGACUCCUACGGGAGGCAGCAGUGGGGGAAUUUUGGACAAUGGGCGCAAGCCUGAUCCAGCCAUGUCGCGUGAGUGAAGAAGGCCUC
This 390-nucleotide ribosomal RNA is filed under the name uncultured bacterium. RNAcentral's name for it is "bacterial SSU rRNA". It matches the Rfam family "Bacterial small subunit ribosomal RNA", at positions 30 to 418 of the family's 1533-position model. The record is from RNAcentral.